This 558-nucleotide ribosomal RNA is filed under the name uncultured bacterium. Its description in RNAcentral is "bacterial SSU rRNA". It matches the Rfam family "Bacterial small subunit ribosomal RNA", at positions 102 to 674 of the family's 1533-position model. The record is from RNAcentral.
ACGGGUGAGUAACACGUGAGCAAUCUGCCCUCCACUUUGGGAUAACUCCCGGAAACGGGUGCUAAUACCGGAUACGACCGCGCCUCGCAUGGGGUGUGGUGGAAAGUUCUGGCGGUGGAGGAUGAGCUCGCGGCCUAUCAGCUUGUUGGUGGGGUAAUGGCCUACCAAGGCUUCGACGGGUAGCCGGCCUGAGAGGGUGACCGGCCACACUGGGACUGAGACGCGGCCCAGACUCCUACGGGAGGCAGCAGUGGGGAAUAUUGGACAAUGGGCGAAAGCCUGAUCCAGCAACGCCGCGUGAGGGAUGGCGGCCUUCGGGUUGUAAACCUCUUUCAGCACAGACGAAGCGAAAGUGACGGUAUGUGCAGAAGAAGCACCGGCCAACUACGUGCCAGCAGCCGCGGUAAUACGUAGGGUGCGAGCGUUGUCCGGAAUUAUUGGGCGUAAAGGGCUCGUAGGCGGUUUGUUGCGUCAGGAGUGAAAACUCGGGGCUUAACCCCGAGCCUGCUUCUGAUACGGGCAGACUUGAGGUAUGCAGGGGAGAACGGAAUUCCUGGU